Molecule: small nucleolar RNA, 138 nt
Filed under: Setaria italica (foxtail millet)
Lineage: Eukaryota; Viridiplantae; Streptophyta; Magnoliopsida; Poales; Poaceae
Description: Small nucleolar RNA Z247
Rfam family: Small nucleolar RNA Z247
About the family: Z247 is a member of the C/D class of snoRNA which contain the C (UGAUGA) and D (CUGA) box motifs.
Source: Rfam by way of RNAcentral
GUGAUUGAAGAUGACUAGAUGGUGUCCCAUAUCCUCACGGGGCUCGAUUAGGACUACAACCCGCUAGUGUCUUCGGUGAUGGGCAUACAGAUCCCAUCUCGCUAAGUGAGUUAUACUCUCAAAUCCUUAACUAUGAUA